RNAcentral lists this ribosomal RNA (427 nucleotides) under uncultured bacterium. Its description in RNAcentral is "bacterial SSU rRNA". It matches the Rfam family "Bacterial small subunit ribosomal RNA", at positions 355 to 774 of the family's 1533-position model. The record is from RNAcentral.
UGGGGAAUUUUGGACAAUGGGCGCAAGCCUGAUCCAGCAAUGCCGCGUGCAGGAUGAAGGCCUUCGGGUUGUAAACUGCUUUUGUACGGAACGAAAAAGCUCUCUCUAGUACAGGGGGUGAAUGACGGUACCGUAAGAAUAAGCACCGGCUAACUACGUGCCAGCAGCCGCGGUAAUACGUAGGGUGCAAGCGUUAAUCGGAAUUACUGGGCGUAAAGCGUGCGCAGGCGGGUUUGUAAGACAGAGGUGAAAUCCCCGGGCUCAACCUGGGAACUGCCUUUGUGACUGCAAAGCUGGAGUGCGGCAGAGGGGGAUGGAAUUCCGCGUGUAGCAGUGAAAUGCGUAGAUAUGCGGAGGAACACCGAUGGCGAAGGCAAUCCCCUGGGCCUGCACUGACGCUCAUGCACGAAAGCGUGGGGAGCAAACA